CUGACACGUCUACCUCUGUGUGUUAAAAUCCGCAGUGCACGGCUACUGCCCGGCCGGGUUCAAGGCUCUGGGAAACAACUGCUACGUCAUUUUGAAGGUGAUGGGAUCCUAUGCCGAGGCACAGGUCCAAUCCGAACGACCCAGAUCUGACUCCUCCAGGAAAGGACAUUCCUGGCCCCUGGGAACCAGGAGUUGCUGACUUACUUCAACUGGGCUCCGGGGAAUCCCGACAAUUUAGGCGCGAAUCAACACUGUCUUAACAUUUUCCGAGAUGACUCGCAAUUGCGAUGGAAUGACGACCAUUGUUGGGCUGAUAGAUACCCGCUGUGCUAAAGGGAUCAACUGAAUCCGUCGAUUCCUGAAUAGAUCACCCAAUUGUUGGAUGGAUAAUGUCAGUGUCUGAAAUUAAAGCGAAAGCAAAACUUUUUAACGUUGUUUUGAUUACAGGUUUAAUGGACUAGGAACUAGCAG
Molecule: long non-coding RNA, 471 nt
Organism: Dreissena polymorpha
Lineage: Eukaryota; Metazoa; Mollusca; Bivalvia; Myida; Dreissenidae
Exons: 3
Source: RefSeq, a predicted model, not a curated record